Molecule: ribosomal RNA, 484 nt
Filed under: uncultured bacterium
Lineage: Bacteria
Description: bacterial SSU rRNA
Rfam family: Bacterial small subunit ribosomal RNA
Source: RNAcentral
CUACGUGCCAGCAGCCGCGGUAAUGCGGAAGGUCCGGGCGUUAUCCGGAUUUAUUGGGUUUAAAGGGAGCGUAGGCCGUGGAUUAAGCGUGUUGUGAAAUGUAGACGCUCAACGUCUGAAUUGCAGCGCGAACUGGUUCACUUGAGUAUGCACAACGUAGGCGGAAUUCGUCGUGUAGCGGUGAAAUGCUUAGAUAUGACGAAGAACUCCGAUUGCGAAGGCAGCUUACGGGAGCACAACUGACGCUGAAGCUCGAAGGUGCGGGUAUCAAACAGGAUUAGAUACCCUGGUAGUCCGCACAGUAAACGAUGGAUGCCCGUUGUUAGUUCACUUUAGAAUUAGCGACCAAGCGAAAGCAUUAAGCAUCCCACCUGGGGAGUACGCCGGCAACGGUGAAACUCAAAGGAAUUGACGGGGGCCCGCACAAGCGGAGGAACAUGUGGUUUAAUUCGAUGAUACGCGAGGAACCUUACCCGGGCUUGAA